GACGAACGCUGGCGGCGUGCCUAAUACAUGCAAGUCGAACGAGAGCGACCGGUGCUUGCACUGGUCAAUCUAGUGGCGAAUGGGUGAGUAACACGUGGGUAACCUGCCCAUCAGAGGGGGAUAACAUCCGGAAACGGAUGCUAAAACCGCAUAGGUCUUCGAGCCGCAUGGCUUGAAGAGGAAAAGAGGCGCAAGCUUCUGCUGAUGGAUGGACCCGCGGUGCAUUAGCUAGUUGGUGAGGUAACGGCUCACCAAGGCCGUGAUGCAUAGCCGACCUGAGAGGGUGAUCGGCCACAUUGGGACUGAGACACGGCCCAAACUCCUACGGGAGGCAGCAGUAGGGAAUCUUCCGCAAUGGACGCAAGUCUGACGGAGCAACGCCGCGUGAGUGAAGAAGGUUUUCGGAUCGUAAAACUCUGUUGUUAGAGAAGAACAAGUGCUAGAGUAACUGUUAGU
RNAcentral lists this ribosomal RNA (456 nucleotides) under Granulicatella adiacens. RNAcentral's name for it is "bacterial SSU rRNA". It matches the Rfam family "Bacterial small subunit ribosomal RNA", at positions 28 to 473 of the family's 1533-position model. The record is from RNAcentral. Lineage: Bacteria; Bacillati; Bacillota; Bacilli; Lactobacillales; Carnobacteriaceae.